AAUAUAGUAAUAUAUAUAUUGCUCCAUGUAUGUACUGUUAUGCACGUCAUGAACAAGCUGCUGUCAAAAAAGCUGCCACUGUCAGUCUGAGUCAUUUGUGUCAACACUCCAAGUGAAAACAGCACUGACCUUUCACAACCAGGCAACAUUCAAUAGCUGAGCUCCAGGAGGUCCAACUAACAGUGGUGACCCAGGUGGCCCGGGAAGUCCAACAUCACCCUGUGGAAACCAAAGGAACAACAGAAAGAUGUUCUGUUCCAUGCAGCAUUUCAGUGAGAUAUGGAAUGUUUUUCUGUUGCACU
Molecule: long non-coding RNA, 302 nt
Organism: Tympanuchus pallidicinctus (lesser prairie-chicken)
Lineage: Eukaryota; Metazoa; Chordata; Aves; Galliformes; Phasianidae
Exons: 3
Source: RefSeq, a predicted model, not a curated record